This 464-nucleotide ribosomal RNA is filed under the name uncultured bacterium. RNAcentral's name for it is "partial 16S ribosomal RNA". It matches the Rfam family "Bacterial small subunit ribosomal RNA", at positions 28 to 506 of the family's 1533-position model. The record is from RNAcentral.
GACGAACGCUGGCGGCGUGCUUAACACAUGCAAGUCGAACGGAAAGGCCCUGCUUGCAGGGUACUCGAGUGGCGAACGGGUGAGUAACACGUGGGUGAUCUGCCCUGCACUUCGGGAUAAGCCUGGGAAACUGGGUCUAAUGCCGGAUAGGAGCCAUUUUUAGUGUGAUGGUUGGAAAGUUUUUUCGGUGUAGGAUGAGCUCGCGGCCUAUCAGCUUGUUGGCGGGGUAAUGGCCUACCAAGGCGGCGACGGGUAGCCGGCCUGAGAGGGUGGACGGCCACAUUGGGACUGAGAUACGGCCCAGACUCCUACGGGAGGCAGCAGUGGGGAAUAUUGCACAAUGGGCGCAAGCCUGAUGCAGCGACGCCGCGUGGGGGAUGACGGCCUUCGGGUUGUAAACUCCUUUCGCUAGGGACGAAGCUUUUUGUGACGGUACCUAGAUAAGAAGCACCGGCUAACUACGU